AAAUGCAAGAUAAAAGAAUAGACUUGUUUUGUUAUUUAGAAAAUGUAAAUAAAAUAAUCAAAUUACGAUUUUUUACUGGAUAUACUUCUCAAGUUGUAAUUUUUGGUACGUAGAAAUGAGAAGAGGAGAAAUUAGAUUAGAAAAAGAAAGAGUACAAAAACAAAAAGAGAAAGUAAGAGAUGAAUAGAGGAAAGGGGUAAGGAUGAUAUUGUUUAUUAGUGAAAAAUUGUUCAUUUUAGUAUUUUAGUGAGUAAAACCAACCAAAUGUACCAAUUGAAAUAAAUAUCUGUUUAUACACUUUAUUUCAAAACUAAAUGUUCAAUCACCAAAAUAGCAAAACUACUAAGUUCUAAUACCAAUGGUGUAGUUAUCCUUAAAACAAAAGGAGGAAAACUGGAAAAGAAUAAUUUCAAAAUGGAAAACAAUAAAUCAUAAACACCACUA
Molecule: unclassified non-coding RNA, 444 nt
Filed under: Hevea brasiliensis (rubber tree)
Lineage: Eukaryota; Viridiplantae; Streptophyta; Magnoliopsida; Malpighiales; Euphorbiaceae
Source: RNAcentral